GCUUGGAGGCUUCGGCUACAGGUAAGUAUCGCAAGAGAUGCGAUCGGGCUUGAGCAAGUCGGAGGCGUCGGCGGGAUAGGAGAAGGAGGUCGAGGCUCGUGGAGUUGAGUUCGGCUGUGAGGGCUGACGAGUGAAGGUUGAAAGAGGACGGAGUCAGUUCUGGGAGGUAGAUCGGAAGUUUGAGGACGUCACGACAGUGGAGCGGGGUCGGUUUGCAGCCAGCAAGUUGUGGGAGUCGAGUGUGGCGAGGUCUGGAGGUUGUUAUCGGAUGUGUCUAGUUGAAUCAAUGAGAAGAAGGGAAUCGUGAGGUCGGUUUAAGCUUGAGGAUUCGUGGGUUUCUAUGCAUGGUAGGCGAUCAAAAGGCAAGAGUUGUCAAAUGGAAGAAGGCUUCGACUCUAUUGGGUCGUGCGUGUUGGAAGAAACGAAAGCCUCGUUUCAUUGUCGUAUUUAACGACUCAAUUCGAACUGAUCUCUACAUGCGGGCGACAAGCACAACUGGGGCACUAUAACGACGACGGGUAUGGCUUCAGCAGCUUUCAUGCUAUUCCAUGAAUUGAGCUUCUCUACUUCAAUGGGCUGUCAAUCAGCUUGGUAAGCUGUUGGAUGUUCAUUGGCAUCCCCAUCCACCUGGUUGGAUCAAGGUUAAUGCGGAUGCUUCUCUACUUUAAUCCUAUAAAGGAGGUAUUGGAGGAGUAUGUAGAGAUUCCAAAGGCAGGUUCUUGUUAGCAUUUGGAUAUCCCAUUACUCAUUGGGACGUUUCAAGGCUUGAGAUGCUUGCUGUUCAAUCCGUUCAAGAUGUUUAUAAAGAUGGUAUGAUGAAUUAUGAUGACAUCAUCAUUGAAGAAGAUAAUGCAAAUGUAAUCAAGGACUUGCAAGAUGGUGCUAUUCACAAGAAUGAUGAUUUGAGAGGUAUGUUCAAAGAUUAUAGAAAUAUCAUUUUUAAUUGUUUAGAUAGGAAGUGUAAUAAGUUAACGGAUCUUUGUGCUAACUAUGCUAUUGUUACUUCCUUUAUUUGGGAUGAUUUAGUUCUUAAUAAGAUUCCUCCUUCCUUUAUCUCUUUGUUAAAGGAGGAAUUUUAUGGUUACCUUUAGCUUUUGCUUUUAGUUUUCAAUAAUAUUUAAAUGCACUUGGUUGCAUUUUCUUC
This is a long non-coding RNA of Dendrobium catenatum, 1144 nucleotides long. RefSeq lists it as uncharacterized. The transcript has 2 exons. Lineage: Eukaryota; Viridiplantae; Streptophyta; Magnoliopsida; Asparagales; Orchidaceae. The record is from RefSeq and is a predicted model, not a curated record.